This 748-nucleotide long non-coding RNA is filed under the name Homo sapiens (human). RNAcentral describes it as "HSALNT0392513". Lineage: Eukaryota; Metazoa; Chordata; Mammalia; Primates; Hominidae. The record is from RNAcentral.
UAGAUCUUCAUUUCAUCCUCAUAACAAUGAGGUUUUAGAUACCAUUCGGUAUCUAGCAUUUGGUAUUUGCUAGAUACUAAUAAUAUCCUCAUUUUACAGUUAAAGAAAUUGACACUAAACUACCUGCUUUACCUAUAUAGCUCUGCAUUUGCAACAACACUGCAAGAAAGUGAAGCUGAUGAUACAGGAGGUAGAAAGAAAUUAUUUAGGCAGAUAGUGAGAGCCCAAGAGUCCUCAGCAGAGCUUCCCCUCUAACAAAAAGCAGCCCUCAAAAUCAUUUCUUUUCAUAACAAAGAGAAGCCUGAAAAAUUGAGUUGCAAACAUAGAUACAUAGAUACACAAGAUGGAAGCUGUCACAGGGGAAUGACGGCAGCUGUGCCAAUAGAAAAGGAAAAGGACUACCUGGGGGCGGCCAUGUCCAACAUGGAGGCUCCAUCUUCUCUUUUUUUGUUAUCACGUGUACAGUAAUAAAGAAAUGGGCAACAUGGUGCACCUCAGGCAGAGACGCGCCUGGAUAAUAAAAAAAGGUUAGGAUGGGGGAUACCAGAGAUUCGUGCCCUAUGCAAAUAGCACAACUGGUCUAACCAGUCUUUCUUGCCCUUUCUUGCCUAUGUAGAUCAGACGCCGCCUCCCCACCAGCUCAUCUAUAAAACCUCCUGCAUUUCACCGCGGAUCCGGCAACCCAUUUUUCUGAGACCCCUCUCUGCAGCAGAGAACUCUUCUCUUUCUUUUGCAUAUUAAACUUCCG